UGCAGUCGAACGAUGAUGCCCAGCUUGCUGGGUGGAUUAGUGGCGAACGGGUGAGUAAUACGUGAGUAACCUGCCCUUGACUCUGGGAUAAGCCUGGGAAACUGGGUCUAAUACUGGAUACUACCGUCCAUCGCAUGGUGGGUGGUGGAAAGGGUUUUACUGGUUUUGGAUGGGCUCACGGCCUAUCAGCUUGUUGGUGGGGUAAUGGCUCACCAAGGCGACGACGGGUAGCCGGCCUGAGAGGGUGACCGGCCACACUGGGACUGAGACACGGCCCAGACUCCUACGGGAGGCAGCAGUGGGGAAUAUUGCACAAUGGGCGGAAGCCUGAUGCAGCGACGCCGCGUGAGGGAUGACGGCCUUCGGGUUGUAAACCUCUUUCAGUAGGGAAGAAGCGAGAGUGACGGUACCUGCAGAAGAAGCGCCGGCUAACUACGUGCCAGCAGCCGCGGUAAUACGUAGGGCGCAAGCGUUGUCCGGAAUUAUUGGGCGUAAAGAGCUCGUAGGCGGUUUGUCGCGUCUGCUGUGAAAGCCCGGGGCUCAACCCCGGGUCUGCAGUGGGUACGGGCAGACUAGAGUGCAGUAGGGGAGACUGGAAUUCCUGGUGUAGCGGUGAAAUGCGCAGAUAUCAGGAGGAACACCGAUGGCGAAGGCAGGUCUCUGGGCUGUUACUGACGCUGAGGAGCGAAAGCAUGGGGAGCGAACAGGAUUAGAUACCCUGGUAGUCCAUGCCGUAAACGUUGGGCACUAGGUGUGGGGGACAUUCCACGUUCUCCGCGCCGUAGCUAACGCAUUAAGUGCCCCGCCUGGGGAGUACGGCCGCAAGGCUAAAACUCAAAGGAAUUGACGGGGGCCCGCACAAGCGGCGGAGCAUGCGGAUUAAUUCGAUGCAACGCGAAGAACCUUACCAAGGCUUGACAUUCAUCGGAUCGUCCCAGAGAUGGGGUUUCCCUUCGGGGUCGGUGGACAGGUGGUGCAUGGUUGUCGUCAGCUCGUGUCGUGAGAUGUUGGGUUAAGUCCCGCAACGAGCGCAACCCUCGUUCUAUGUUGCCAGCACGUGAUGGUGGGGACUCAUAGGAGACUGCCGGGGUCAACUCGGAGGAAGGUGGGGAUGACGUCAAAUCAUCAUGCCCCUUAUGUCUUGGGCUUCACGCAUGCUACAAUGGCCGGUACAAAGGGUUGCGAUACUGUGAGGUGGAGCUAAUCCCAAAAAGCCGGUCUCAGUUCGGAUUGAGGUCUGCAACUCGACCUCAUGAAGUCGGAGUCGCUAGUAAUCGCAGAUCAGCAACGCUGC
Molecule: ribosomal RNA, 1294 nt
Filed under: uncultured bacterium
Lineage: Bacteria
Description: bacterial SSU rRNA
Rfam family: Bacterial small subunit ribosomal RNA
Source: RNAcentral